This 253-nucleotide ribosomal RNA is filed under the name uncultured bacterium. RNAcentral's name for it is "partial 16S ribosomal RNA". It matches the Rfam family "Bacterial small subunit ribosomal RNA", at positions 524 to 776 of the family's 1533-position model. The record is from RNAcentral.
UACGUAGGGUGCGAGCGUUGUCCGGAAUUAUUGGGCGUAAAGAGCUUGUAGGCGGUCUGUCGCGUCUGCUGUGAAAAUCCGGGGCUCAACCCCGGACUUGCAGUGGGUACGGGCAGACUAGAGUGAUGUAGGGGAGACUGGAAUUCCUGGUGUAGCGGUGAAAUGCGCAGAUAUCAGGAGGAACACCGGUGGCGAAGGCGGGUCUCUGGGCCGAUACUGACGCUGAGGAGCGAAAGCGUGGGGAGCGAACAGG